RNAcentral lists this long non-coding RNA (460 nucleotides) under Arachis ipaensis. Its description in RNAcentral is "long non-coding RNA (AIPA_LNC002220)". The record is from RNAcentral. Lineage: Eukaryota; Viridiplantae; Streptophyta; Magnoliopsida; Fabales; Fabaceae.
AAAGACUUUGAAUAUUUCAUACAAGUAAUAUAUAUAAUAAUGAAGAGAAAAGAAGAGAGGAACAUACAAAUAUAUAGAAGACUUGGGAGGCGAAGAGGUACACAUGAAACAGAACAUUAAACUUAGGAAUAAAAUGUAAUAAAAAGAAUCACAAGAUGCCUCUUAUUGCUGGAUUCUAAGCAAAACCAACAGAUCAAGGACAUGAGAAUUAAAUAAUAAUAAGCCAAGCAUCAGACUUGCCUAGAGGGCAGAAAAACAAAUAAUGUUCUUUCAACCUUCCUCUCUGCUUGUGGUGUCAACAUCAUUUGGACAUGCCUCCAUCAUCAUGCUGUCUUCUCGAUGAAAAUCCUUGAUCUUGGACCAAAGUAGUGAUGAUGCUGUGUUUGAGAGAGUCAUAGUGAUCUAUUCUGAGGAGUUAUAGAAAGAAAGCUAAGGAAAUAAAAUGGGAAAAGAAACUAUU